Molecule: ribosomal RNA, 689 nt
Filed under: uncultured Bacilli bacterium
Lineage: Bacteria; Bacillati; Bacillota; Bacilli
Description: bacterial SSU rRNA
Rfam family: Bacterial small subunit ribosomal RNA
Source: RNAcentral
GUAGAACGCUGAAGGAGGAGCUUGCUUCUCCGGAUGAGUUGCGAACGGGUGAGUAACGCGUAGGUAACCUGCCUGGUAGCGGGGGAUAACUAUUGGAAACGAUAGCUAAUACCGCAUAAGAGUAGAUGUUGCAUGACAUUUGCUUAAAAGGUGCAAUUGCAUCACUACCAGAUGGACCUGCGUUGUAUUAGCUAGUUGGUGGGGUAACGGCUCCCCAAGGCGACGAUACAUAGCCGACCUGAGAGGGUGAUCGGCCACACUGGGACUGAGACACGGCCCAGACUCCUACGGGAGGCAGCAGUAGGGAAUCUUCGGCAAUGGACGGAAGUCUGACCGAGCAACGCCGCGUGAGUGAAGAAGGUUUUCGGAUCGUAAAGCUCUGUUGUAAGAGAAGAACGAGUGUGGGAGUGGAAAGUUCACACUGUGACGGUAUCUUACCAGAAAGGGACGGCUAACUACGUGCCAGCAGCCGCGGUAAUACGUAGGUCCCGAGCGUUGUCCGGAUUUAUUGGGCGUAAAGCGAGCGCAGGCGGUUAGAUAAGUCUGAAGUUAAAGGCUGUGGCUUAACCAUAGUACGCUUUGGAAACUGUUUAACUUGAGUGCAAGAGGGGAGAGUGGAAUUCCAUGUGUAGCGGUGAAAUGCGUAGAUAUAUGGAGGAACACCGGUGGCGAAAGCGGCUCUCUGGCUU